Molecule: unclassified non-coding RNA, 2388 nt
Filed under: Hevea brasiliensis (rubber tree)
Lineage: Eukaryota; Viridiplantae; Streptophyta; Magnoliopsida; Malpighiales; Euphorbiaceae
Source: RNAcentral
CUCUGAACAUAGGAUGAAGCAUGAAUUAACAGUUCAAACCUGGAAACUCAAGCUAAUUAAUAAGAGCAAAAAUAUAAGACGUGUACCAAAAACAAAAUUACAGGGGAUAUAAAUAAAGGGAGAUGGGAUAAGUAGCAAACUUAUCAACUCUUGAGCAAAGUCUCGACGGCUUCAAAGAAGAGAGGAGCCAUUUCAGGGCUUGGAGUUUUGAUGGCACAUUUGACACCAGGGGUUCCGAUAACUGCUGUAAGUUCGAUCAAGAAAGGGAUUCCUCGGGGGAUCUUGGCAGAAAGAUACAACACCUCUUGGUUAGCAUGUUUGCGCUUAGCUAUAAAGAACAUGUUUGAUGCAGCUAGACGAUCAAGGGUUGUUUCAACGCUAUUGAUAACAGAUGCUGGGAAGUCCCUUGAUACCUCAUUUGAAUCAGGAAGUGAUUUCCAAGUCUCAAGAAAAGUGGAGCGCUCCAUCCUCCCAUCCUCCGUAAAAAGUACAUGGAAAUAGAUUUUAUCAUUGAAAUACCAUACUGGCUGUUGGUUAUUUUUAAUCGCAACCUGUAAAAGGGUAUUUGCAGGGCCAGGGGAAAUGUUCUGGAACAAAACCAUCGGCAAGAGAGUGCUUGCAGAUGUCCCAGGUAGCAAUUGAGGAACUUGGAGUUGUCCACCGGCAGCAAGACCAAAUGUGUUUUUAUUAAACUGAAUCAUGAAGCCAUCAAGAGGAACCUGUGAAUUGUUCUCAAACAUCAUGCUGUAAAAUACCUGCCCGUCUCUCCGUAUCAGUUGGGCACUGAUUUGUAAACCUUGACCACUAGAUGCUGGCAAUACGACAGGUAACGGAGGGCCAGCUGGGCUUGCAGGCUGAUCAACUGACACAAUAGCACUACCGCUGUUAUCCAUGCCAAGGUCAAGUAAAUCAGGCAGCGCUGCAGGUGCAGCUGGUUGCCUUGAUGCAGGAUGCUGAGGAUUAGCUGAACUAGCUGGCGGUGACGCACCACUAUCUGCAACACGAGCAGGAGAAUCGGAAUAGCUCUGUUCACCUGCCUCCGGAUAAUCUUCCUCUUCAGUUUUCUGAGUGGUCUUCACACGAGUGACAAAUGCUUCUGGAGGCUUAUGAUAGACAGAGGAUAAAGUAGCAAUGUUGGAAAGAAGUUCAUCAAGGAGAGAAGGAUCAAGUUGGUUUGAAUCAUCACUAAUCACGGGCUUUUCAGCUAGCACAACAUCUUUAGCUGCCUCAGGAUCAGUUGAGAGAAGACGCCAAUAAAUGUAUGCACGAUCUCGCAAGUCUGGAUUGUCAGUCUCCACAGUGGCAUUAUUUAAAACCACCUGGAUCAUUUGUUGUGGUCCUUCAGUUGGCUUCUUGAGGAAGAGUUUGACUGUUGCUGUCAGCAACUGCAAUUGCACUUGGGGAGGUUCCUCAGGGAAACUCUCCAAAAAGCUUUCAAGGAGCUCAUCUGCAUUAUCAAUUCUUUCAGCAUACUCACCGAUAAUCCAGAUCAUUGAUGCCUUUGCCUCUGGCUCAUCUAGCGUGUCCAAACUCUCGCAAAGAGUAGCAAUUAUGGACUCAUAGGUGUUAGGAUAUCUUCUGAAAAUGUCCUUAAUUACUAUAAUAGCUUCUUGAACAACAUAGUUUACUUUUAUCUUGAUCAAUUCAAGCAGGACACUGAUACAGCGUUCCGCUGCCCUCUCUAAUUUGAUGGCACAGCGGCCAAUAGCACGGACAGCUUUUCUGACAAAGUCAACGUCUACUUCAGUAGCAUAUUCUUUGAACUCCAAUAGCACCUGGUCUAUGUUUCUGUCUGAAGCAAGUUUUAUCAUAAUUUCUAACUUCUCCAUUUUCACAUAUAUAGGAUCAUUAUACUUGCAAAAGAAUACCUUGAUUUCAUGUGCAAGAAUUGUCGGACGCUUUUGUACAAUGAGGUUUAUGUUCCUUAACGCAACAUACUGAAUUUCAGGCUCUGCUGAAAGCAACGUUACAAGAGGAGGAGCCAUCUUUUUACAAAGGUUUCGAACUACAUCAGUGCUGGUGAUGAGUUCCAUCUGUUGGAGUAUCAUCUUUACAGCUGAAAGAACAACAGCACAAUUUGCAUGCUGUAAUCGUGGAGUGACUCGCUCCACUAUGUUUUCAGCUUCACGAGCAUCAGCUGCUUUGUACUUUGACAGAGCAUCCAGUAUAAACACUUGACCCCACUCAGUGCAUUCAUUCAGAGCAGUUAGAAGCUUUGAAAGUGUAUGGCUGGUGAUCUCAAAGAUGGGCCUGCUACUGCUUUCUUGAAUUUCUGCAAGAGCCGCAACAGCAUUUGCAACAACCAUCGGAUUAUUGUCAGAUAUUAAGUCCUUGAGAGCAUCCAAAAAGCCCCUAUCUUCCACAAGUUCGGCAUUUAUGUCAUAGAGC